UUAGGACGAACGCUGGCGGCGUGCCUAACACAUGCAAGUCGAGCGAGGAGAUCCUUCGGGAUGAUCCUAGCGGCGGACGGGUGAGUAACACGUGGGCAACCUGCCUCAUAGAGAGGAAUAGCCUUCCGAAAGGGAGAUUAAUACCUCAUAACAUUGCAGUUUCGCAUGAAACAGCAAUUAAAGGAGCAAUCCGCUAUGAGAUGGGCCCGCGGCGCAUUAGCUAGUUGGUGAGGUAACGGCUCACCAAGGCGACGAUGCGUAGCCGACCUGAGAGGGUGAUCGGCCACAUUGGGACUGAGACACGGCCCAGGCUCCUACGGGAGGCAGCAGUGGGGAAUAUUGCACAAUGGGGGAAACCCUGAUGCCAGCAACGCCGCGUGAGUGAUGACGGCCUUCGGGUUGUAAAGCUCUGUCUUCAGGGACGAUAAUGACGGUACCUGAGGAGGAAGCCACGGCUAACUACGUGCCAGCCGCCGC
RNAcentral lists this ribosomal RNA (477 nucleotides) under uncultured bacterium. RNAcentral describes it as "bacterial SSU rRNA". It matches the Rfam family "Bacterial small subunit ribosomal RNA", at positions 24 to 518 of the family's 1533-position model. The record is from RNAcentral.